AACGGCGGCAGUCGACCCUGCGCCAUAAGGACACGAGCAAAUCCAGCAAUGAACCAAAGCAGAAUGGAAGAAGGGAGUGUGGUAGAAUACAGAUACGGACUCCAGAUACUAUAAGAAAUUUCUUGGAGGAGGCAUGUACACCCUGGGGACAGACUAACCCACAUCACAGCAAAGAUCCUUCCAGAAAACUGGAAGAAAAUAGAGAGACAGUGACAUCAUCACUUGGCCUCUGAGUUCCCUGCUCCCAGCUCAACACCUGGAAGACCGUCUG
Long non-coding RNA from Caretta caretta (loggerhead turtle), 271 nucleotides. RefSeq lists it as uncharacterized. Lineage: Eukaryota; Metazoa; Chordata; Testudines; Cheloniidae. The record is from RefSeq and is a predicted model, not a curated record.